RNAcentral lists this ribosomal RNA (226 nucleotides) under uncultured bacterium. RNAcentral's name for it is "partial 16S ribosomal RNA". It matches the Rfam family "Bacterial small subunit ribosomal RNA", at positions 538 to 763 of the family's 1533-position model. The record is from RNAcentral.
GCGUUGUUCGGAUUUAUUGGGCGUAAAGGGUGCGUAGGCGGUUUGGCAAGUCUUGUGUGAAAUCUUCGGGCUCAACCCGAAGCCUGCAUAAGAAACUGCCGGGCUUGAGUAUGGGAGAGGUGAGUGGAAUUUCCGGUGUAGCGGUGAAAUGCGUAGAUAUCGGAAGGAACACCUGUGGCGAAAGCGGCUCACUGGACCAUAACUGACGCUGAGGCACGAAAGCUAG